Molecule: ribosomal RNA, 40 nt
Filed under: Meloidogyne enterolobii
Lineage: Eukaryota; Metazoa; Nematoda; Chromadorea; Rhabditida; Meloidogynidae
Description: partial 18S small subunit ribosomal RNA
Source: RNAcentral
UAAAAAAUAUCUGGUUGAUCCCUGCAGAAACUAAAAAAUA